UUUUAACUUUUUUUUUCUUUCCUGUUCCCCAAAUAGAAAAGACUCAACCACAAGAGCCAUGAAAUUUCCCAGAUCUCCAGCAACACCUAGCAGAGUACUUCACAAAGAGUCACCCAUCAUUACUAAUUAGCUGAAAUUCACAAAUCGAAAAGUAGGCGGGAGUUGGCAGCACAUCUCCUAUCUGGAGAGCAUGUGCGCAGUCUCUUUCAGCAUGUAUGAAAGGAGCGGAGACGUAGGAAGACCGCCACAAGUGACUUAUCUCAAACCCUUCCUCGCCAAGCAGGCAGGAGGCUCCACCCCCAACAGGGGGCUUGAAGUCACAGCCCUGAGAUGAAGAGUCCCACGACCUAGUGACUGAGCCAACCAGGUGGCCCUGCAAGGAAUUAAAUUAGUUUGGACUUUGAAGCAACUGAUAAUAGUUGACAAAUGACGAAAACUGAUUGAGAUGACAUUAAAGUACAGGGAAAGGGCUUUUACAGAGCAGGUCUGAAAACAGUGCUCGGAGAAGAAAAAGUAUCACAUACCCAUUCAACUCAUUAAAUUUUUCAAUUUAACGUCAUGUUCCACACCUUUUUCCGGGUUGUGUUGAAUGAAUGGAUGGAUGGAUGAAGGAAGGAAUUUGGGCCCCGUCACUAACUGCAGAGUUAAAUGCAUGCUUUUCUACUCUUAAAACAAAAUCAAAACCUCCAUGAGCAGAUGGUGGAGGCUUCUAUUUUCCAGGAGACAAAGAACCUGGCCUGGACUCUUUAACUCACGACAGCGGG
RNAcentral lists this long non-coding RNA (764 nucleotides) under Mustela putorius furo (domestic ferret). RNAcentral's name for it is "lncRNA (ENSMPUG00000026524.1)". The record is from RNAcentral. Lineage: Eukaryota; Metazoa; Chordata; Mammalia; Carnivora; Mustelidae.